GAUUAAGAUGAUGAGAGGAGGGUAUUCAUGGAAUCGUCCAAGCGAAUAGGCUUGCGAAUGGGUUUAAAACAUCGGUGGGUUGACGGAAAAUGAUUCAGUUUCAUGGAGUAUCAACAAGUGAACAGUAAGAUAUAAAAGGAAAAUAGUGUUGACAAUUAAAUCAUAUUGUGAUUUGUGAUCAUCAACAAACAGGAGUAAACAAACAAUUAAUACUUUUCCUUGUGAUAAUUUAACAAAAGUUUUCAUUUAAACGUUUGUGAGUGUGUAGAGAGAGACACUUAACUAAUUCUCAAUCCAUUUAAAGCCAAAUAUUAAUCAACUCUUUUUUUGUCACUUCCAAUUAACGCAAAUCAACAAUGAGUCCAAUUUGGAGUAUACUUCUCAUCGCUCUUCUCUAUGUUAACCUGAGCCUUGUUGAGGCAGGUAAGAAGAUGAAUCAAGAUGAAGUAAUUGUAAUCAACAACAAUGGAGGUGGUAAAUGUGGUGGACACACAAGGACAAUUGUCAAAACCGCUGGACAAGGUAAAAAGGGAAAAGGCAAGAAAGGUAAAGGUCACAAAAUCAUCUUAUCAUCUGGAGGUGGUAAAUGUCCAGGGGAACAGAAAAUUACUCAUAUUCCCUUCCCAAUGCCUGUUCCUCACUAUGAACAUGUUCAUCAUCAUGGUGGUUGGGGUCAUGGUGGUUCUGAGAGACGAGAAAGUCAAAUGGCUGCUGGAUCAAUGCCAGUUGGCUCAAUGACCUCAAGCAGUUCACCAGUUCCCACAGCAACAGUAGCUGAUAAAGGAGACAGAGGAAUGAUGAUCCCAUUCCCCUUUGACCCACAAAGAAUGGACAUGCCCUACGCACCUCAUCACAUGGAAAUGGCCGGUGCCAAUCCCGCUGUUGCCUAUGUACCUCAUCCAUAUGGUGGACAACAACAAGCUCACCAUGGACACGGUGGUCCACAUCAUCAUCAUCAUCAAGGUUAUGGGCCAAUGCAUCAAUACAUGUAGACGAUCAUUUUAAUUUCAUCUCAAAUACAACAAUCAUCUAAUUAGAAAUAUCAACAACUAAAAAUAUAAACACGAUCUCAAUUUGAGACGCAAGGUAGAUCCUUGGAAUCGUAAUCAAAUUGGAUCAACAUUUUCUGUCACCCCAACAAAUUAACAUUGUUUUUUUUAAGCGAUCAGCCUCCGAGAAUUCAAAAUGGCCACCGAUACAUAUAGCCCUAAGGCCUAUGAUCAACGACACAUAAACACACACACACACAUACAUCAUUACCACAAACAUCACACAAAUUUCACCUUCAUCAUCAUCAUUCAAUUAUAACAAUGACAAGAUUUGAUAUCUUGAUCAGUUAAUUAACUUUUUUUUGUUCGAUAACUUUUUUUUUUAUAUUCACAAGAAAUGGGAAAACCCUCUUACAAUUAAAAGAGUUUGU
Panonychus citri (citrus red mite) is the source of this 1420-nucleotide RNA transcript. RefSeq lists it as uncharacterized. Lineage: Eukaryota; Metazoa; Arthropoda; Arachnida; Trombidiformes; Tetranychidae. The record is from RefSeq and is a predicted model, not a curated record. The transcript has 3 exons.